This 469-nucleotide ribosomal RNA is filed under the name uncultured bacterium. RNAcentral's name for it is "partial 16S ribosomal RNA". It matches the Rfam family "Bacterial small subunit ribosomal RNA", at positions 28 to 508 of the family's 1533-position model. The record is from RNAcentral.
GACGAACGCUGGCGGCGUGCUUAACACAUGCAAGUCGAACGGAAAGGCCCUGCUUUUGUGGGGUGCUCGAGUGGCGAACGGGUGAGUAACACGUGAGUAACCUGCCCCUGACUUUGGGAUAACUUCAGGAAACUGGGGCUAAUACCGGAUAGGAGCUCCUGCUGCAUGGUGGGGGUUGGAAAGUUUCGGCGGUUGGGGAUGGACUCGCGGCUUAUCAGCUUGUUGGUGGGGUAGUGGCUUACCAAGGCUUUGACGGGUAGCCGGCCUGAGAGGGUGACCGGCCACAUUGGGACUGAGAUACGGCCCAGACUCCUACGGGAGGCAGCAGUGGGGAAUAUUGCACAAUGGGCGGAAGCCUGAUGCAGCAACGCCGCGUGCGGGAUGACGGCCUUCGGGUUGUAAACCGCUUUCGCCUGUGACGAAGCGUGAGUGACGGUAAUGGGUAAAGAAGCACCGGCUAACUACGUGC